This 449-nucleotide ribosomal RNA is filed under the name uncultured organism. RNAcentral's name for it is "partial 16S ribosomal RNA". It matches the Rfam family "Bacterial small subunit ribosomal RNA", at positions 331 to 797 of the family's 1533-position model. The record is from RNAcentral.
GUACACUCCUGCGGGAGGCAGCAGUGGGGAAUAUUGGACAAUGGGCGCAAGCCUGAUCCAGCCAUGCCGCGUGAGUGAUGAAGGCCCUAGGGUUGUAAAGCUCUUUCACCGGUGAAGAUAAUGACGGUAACCGGAGAAGAAGCCCCGGCUAACUUCGUGCCGGCAGCCGCGGUAAUACGAAGGGGGCUAGCGUUGUUCGGAUUUACUGGGCGUAAAGCGCACGUAGGCGGACUAUUAAGUCAGGGGUGAAAUCCCGGGGCUCAACCCCGGAACUGCCUUUGAUACUGGUAGUCUUGAGUUCGAGAGAGGUGAGUGGAAUUCCGAGUGUAGAGGUGAAAUUCGUAGAUAUUCGGAGGAACACCAGUGGCGAAGGCGGCUCACUGGCUCGAUACUGACGCUGAGGUGCGAAAGCGUGGGGAGCAAACAGGAUUAGAAACCCGGGUAGUCCC